UGCGCCUCUGUGUUCUGGCAACUGGGAGUGGUUCUAUGACUUCAGGGACCACCGCCGAAGCUCCGGGCUGAGCCUCUGCCGCCAAGAACGUCUCUGCUGCCACCGGGUCCCGCCGAUGAAAUUCGGGCUGCCGCCGUUAUUCAGAAUUUAUUAACGGGGCCGCUGCCGAGUCGUUUUAGAGUUGCGGCUGUUUCGUUUCGCUGAUCUAAGUUGGUGAGAUUGUUGAGAACGCAAGUGGAGACGAGUUGCUGGCUGCAGUUGGUUUUGGGUUGAGGCGAAGAGGACUCUGUGAGACUUUUGGACUAUGGAAUUAUGUUUUGAGGUAGGGGCGCUUUCUGAAAACUAUAGUUUAUUAUUGGAAUUAUUACAUAUGGGUACUGA
Non-coding RNA from Arachis ipaensis, 381 nucleotides. Lineage: Eukaryota; Viridiplantae; Streptophyta; Magnoliopsida; Fabales; Fabaceae. The record is from RefSeq and is a predicted model, not a curated record.